GAUAGCUCCACACCAUUCCCAGGUCAAUGUUGGGCUCAACCUUGCGAACUGCGCCAAUGGCAGUGUCAUAGAUUCCGUGGUGCUGAGCCCAUUCAACAAAAGCAAUUGCACCUAGGCCUAGAAAGAUGAGAUGGUGGCCAAGAAUAAAAGUGAGCUUUUUGGGAUCAUCCCA
Molecule: antisense RNA, 172 nt
Filed under: Synechococcus sp. CC9311
Lineage: Bacteria; Bacillati; Cyanobacteriota; Cyanophyceae; Synechococcales; Synechococcaceae
Description: Antisense RNA which regulates isiA expression
Rfam family: Antisense RNA which regulates isiA expression
Source: Rfam by way of RNAcentral